UACGAGUUCUAGACUCGUCGAGUGUCGGU
This 29-nucleotide small RNA is filed under the name Bombyx mori (domestic silkworm). RNAcentral describes it as "ovarian small RNA-21019". The record is from RNAcentral. Lineage: Eukaryota; Metazoa; Arthropoda; Insecta; Lepidoptera; Bombycidae.